CAUGUUGAUUGUGAAUUUGAGAGUGAUUUACAUAAAGAGCUGAGCAUACAGUAAGGUCAUGUUGGUGACUCAGAUAUGCCAAAUGCCAAUGUCGGCAUAAACAUGUUAAAAAGAAGUGGAGCAAGUACAGGUUCGGCAGAAACAUCAUGGACGAUAAAACUACAUGAAGCUGAAUUCACCAUCAAUAAUAAGGGACUGUAUGUGGGUGAGAAAGUAAGAUAAGCAGAUUCCUGACCAUGUAGAAUACAUUUUCAGGAAGUGUAAAAAGUAGAUUGAGGGAAAAGAGUAUCACCACAGAUGAAUAGCUGUCCAUCAUAUUGAAGAAACCUUGCCAAACAAAUGUUGACCAAGAGCUGUUACAAGAAUAUUCUGAGCUCAGAAUUUAGACUACUAAUAUUUAAAGACGGUUAUUAGCUAUAUACUGUACUAAUCUACCCUAAUAAAAGUAUAACUGUCUGUAUCUGUGUGUCCAUCUGGUUCAUGUGUCUCUUUCAUUCCAACAGAUGGCACAUCAGAAACAUGUGUAAUAACUAAAUGCUUUCCAUUUGUCAUUCCAACAGAUGUUGCAUCACAAACGUUAAAACUACUUUUAUGAAUUCCAUACCAAAUAGCAUAUGACAGAGACAUAUGCAUUGCAUUUGUCAUUCCAACAAAUGGUGCAUCACAAACAUUAGUAGUAAUGCAUUUUAUUACUACAAAUGUUUGUGGUGUGCAAUCUGAUGGAAUGACAAAUGCAGUGCAGUUUAUUACUGUAUGCAUUAUAACAUACAUUGCAAUAGACCUUAGCAAAAGUUAACGCUAAGGUCUGCAUUGAUUACUACCCAUCUCAGAUGGAUAGCACAGCUAGUUAAGGCUGUAAAGAAAUUAUGUGUUAAUGAGAUUUACACAAUAAAGGUAGAUUUAAGAUUGGUUAAAUGAUGAAGAGAAAAGAACAAUCUAUGGUCUUAUGUAAAUGUAGCAGGAACCAAGGCAGAAUGAGAGUAUUAGUAAUGAAACAGGUAAACGGCCAUGUAGCAUGAAGUUGUCCUGGUAUGAAAAAGGCAAGUGACAUGUGAAAGAGGUACUGGACAGAAAGUUUGAAUAGAUGACAGAAAGAUAAGAGAAGUGUCAAGAUAGGACUGUUUGUGAGAGGAAAGGAGGGCAGUGAUCUUAGCUUGAAAGAAAUAUUCAAAAUAGUGGCACUUUUAGAGUGAUAAAAGAACUUGUUCAUAACUUUAAUUAGUAUUCUAUAAUUCCAUUGCUUCUACAUAAUGCAACUCAGAGAAGUGUCUUGCCCUAGCAUCAGCGAGUGCUUGCUGGUAUGCCAGAGGUGAGAAGGCCUGAUCUCUGGACAGAGAGACCAGAAGGCCUCCAUUGUCACUCCAACCAUAGAGAGGUGCAGGGGUAGAAACACAUCGGGUGAAAGAGAACAUCAAGGGAUGACUAAGGAAGGAGAGUUUGUGUCAAAGGUCCAAAUGGGAGGGACAAAGGAACAGUUUCAAAACACAUGAAAGCAAGUAGCAUGUGCAGUUUGAGAACAAAAAUGGCCAUAGGGGUUGAUGGCCUGUCUCAUAGUAUAACAUUUUCCAGGCAUAACAUAUAGAAUAUGUACAGUUUUUACACUGAAUUUGUUGGUGAAUAGGAUUUUUGUAGUUGGUAUACAAGCCUUUAACAAUGUACAACUAGUUGUUAACUUUGAAUUUUGUAAACUAUACAUUUUUUAGAAAAAAUAAGAGCAUCAUAUAAUUUAAAAUAUGCUUAAUGACUUAAUUCAAUAAUUGGAGAUUUUUUUCUUGCUGCACAUGAUGUAAUUAACACAGAAAAAAUCUGCAUUCUCUAUAGUUGCAAUUUCUACCUAUAAUGAAUGAAACAGAAUGGUAAGGAACAUUUCAAAUAAAAACAAAAUGAAUAAUUUCUACAAACAUCACAGCUUGUAUUUUUCUUGUUUUCUGAAAAAAAUCUAAAUACAUCAUAUUCCAGCAGACAGUAAGCAGCAACACAGUACUCCAUUCAAACAAAAAACAUUGGCUGGUCGCAUCAUAAAUUACAAUGGGAAAAAAGCUGCAAAUUGAAAAUAAUCAGAAAUACAGUGGAAAAUAUUUGUACAAUUCAUUUUGUGUUUUUAACGGCACUUAGUUCAUUUAUCUAGUGUGAAGGCCUUAGCUUCAACCACGUUGAGAGAAACAACAGUUGACUUUCAAAGUCAGACUAAACAAGAAUUUAAUUAAAAAAAAAAAACAAAACAAAUGGUGCCUGAUUCUUUUGGUGUCCAGACAAUUAAUUACAGGCAUGAGUUAACACAAAGUACUAUAACCAUGGGUGUUCCCUGUGGAUUUAUUUGCUCAAUGGUAAAACUAAAUAUGUGAUGUGUUACAGCUUAUAUGAGGUACUGGGUAAUGACUGCAUGUGUUUGGGUGUCGUGAAGAACAAUGGUUGCCUGAUGCAUUAAAUAUUAAUACAAAUGAGAGGUGCACAGAUGAAUAAGUAUGCCAUAAAUACAUAAACUUGACUU
Erpetoichthys calabaricus (reedfish) is the source of this 2491-nucleotide long non-coding RNA. RefSeq lists it as uncharacterized. The record is from RefSeq and is a predicted model, not a curated record. NCBI's taxonomy places the organism in Eukaryota, Metazoa, Chordata, Cladistia, Polypteriformes, Polypteridae. The transcript is spliced from 3 exons.